This 1636-nucleotide unclassified non-coding RNA is filed under the name Athalia rosae (coleseed sawfly). RNAcentral's name for it is "misc RNA ENSAEAG00005001811.1". The record is from RNAcentral. Lineage: Eukaryota; Metazoa; Arthropoda; Insecta; Hymenoptera; Athaliidae.
AGUCUUUUUUUCUUUCAUUUUAGUCGUCUAUUCUAUUCUCUUAUUCUUGUACCUCAGGUUGAAGUUGGGAACGUCAACGUAAUUCGAUUGAGAAAUGAAAAACCAGGAGAAUUCCAUGAAAGAAUCAAAUAGAGGUCAAAAUAUUCAGGCUGAGUUAUUAGGCGAUAGACGCAACUCCCGGAAAAUUGGGAUACCACAGAAUACAGGACGUUCAAGAUUUCAGAUCCGCAGUUUUGGAAGAAAAUGAUGAACAAAAAUUCUUUUGAGGUUUCAAAGACGGUGUAUUAUCACCUGAAAGAAUGACAAAAAUGAAAAGAGGAGCUGGUCGACUUGACAUGGAACGUCCCAUACUUAUAUGUAUAGUCAAUUCCUCGCAUACCAUUGGUUUAUCUGAUAUUUGUAGGGAAGUUUAUUCAUCAUUUUCGAGUCGGUCAGUUUUUGCCCUGGCAGAAAUAGAUGAAUAAUGAGAAGAGAAAAGAAGGAGCAAAAAAGAAACGGAUCAGAAAAGGAAAAAGCAGGAUGAGGAGAGAGAAAGAACGAGAGAUCUGAGCAGCUGAACGGACUACGAACUUUGUGCAGAUGGCUGGCAUGGCGCAUGUGAUCACGAUUACCAAUUAUCACGGUAUAAGUAUAUAGUUUGAAAGAAAUUGAUAUGGAGAGGUGUACAACAAAGAUGUAUGCCGAUUGAUUAAUUACUUUGAUGAAUAAUGAGAUAAGAUACGAUAAGAAGUGCAUACUUUCUUCAUCGUCUUGAUGCAAGUAGAAAUCACAACUUGGAAAAUGAAUCCUAUGCUCUCUGUCUGGAUCGUCGCCUAGUUCCCAUUUCAUAACAACGCCGCGGCAAAAGGCACAUUCUACCUAAGGUGAGCAAACAUCAAUUAUUAUAUAUAGAGCUUUUAAUGAAUUUGUGAAACUCUGUAGAAAAUUUUUGUGCAAAAAGAUAUGAACAGUGUAAACAAAAAUAGAGAUUCUUGUUUGUAAAUUCAAAUUUCAUCAUAAAAAAUUUGCAGACAUAGUUCCCUUACCAUAUCUGCCUGUUGUAAGUAGUAAAAUCCUGCUUUGGCUAAGCUUUCUGGCGUGACGAUGUUCGAAACUGGCCAAUUAACGAAUGAUCUUAAUCUCUGUGCCUCAGUUCUAUACUCACUUCUAGGUUCUUGACUUUGAGUGGGUGAGUGAGAAGUUGCUGAUAUUUGAUUCUGGUUAUUAUGUGACCUCCGAGGCUGAGCUGGAGAUGGUGUAGAUGAUGACGAAGACGACGUGGAUAAACAGGACAUAGUAUUUGGGGAAGGAGUUAAUGGCAAACAGGACAGAGUAUUUGAGGAAGGAGUUAAUGGCACAUUGCAGGUACUUGAGGGGUUCAAAACAAAGGGACAGUUUGGGUCUAUUUGUCGGUGGCGGGCCAUGACCUGGUCACCGUAGUUCCAUUCGGAUAUCUUACCACCGCAUAAAAAACACUGCACCUCAAAACUGCGACCUGUGUAAUAAAAUCCAGCUCUUGCUAUACGAUUGUAAUCCACGGCGGCGUUUCCAGGCCAGUCUGAAAACGUCCUUAACCUAUUUUCCUCGAAAUUCAUUAUUUGUUUCUUUACACUCGAUUACGCGGUGAUACGUCAACGUCCGAUUGUUCGGAACUUCC